RNAcentral lists this transfer RNA (63 nucleotides) under Cavia porcellus (domestic guinea pig). It matches the Rfam family "tRNA", at positions 5 to 66 of the family's 71-position model. From Rfam's summary of the family: Transfer RNA (tRNA) molecules are approximately 80 nucleotides in length. Their secondary structure includes four short double-helical elements and three loops (D, anti-codon, and T loops). Lineage: Eukaryota; Metazoa; Chordata; Mammalia; Rodentia; Caviidae. The record is from Rfam by way of RNAcentral.
GUGUAACUCAGUGGUAAAGUAUGUGCUUAGCAAGCACAAGGCCCUGGAUUUGAUCCCUAGCAC